AAAUUGAAGAGUUUGAUCAUGGCUCAGAUUGAACGCUGGCGGCAGGCCUAACACAUGCAAGUCGAACGGUAACAGGAAGCAGCUUGCUGCUUUGCUGACGAGUGGCGGACGGGUGAGUAAUGUCUGGGAAACUGCCUGAUGGAGGGGGAUAACUACUGGAAACGGUGGCUAAUACCGCAUAACGUCGCAAGACCAAAGAGGGGGACCUUCGGGCCUCUUGCCAUCAGAUGUGCCCAGAUGGGAUUAGCUUGUUGGUGAGGUAACGGCUCACCAAGGCGACGAUCCCUAGCUGGUCUGAGAGGAUGACCAGCCACACUGGAACUGAGACACGGUCCAGACUCCUACGGGAGGCAGCAGUGGGGAAUAUUGCACAAUGGGCGCAAGCCUGAUGCAGCCAUGCCGCGUGUAUGAAGAAGGCCUUCGGGUUGUAAAGUACUUUCAGCGGGGAGGAAGGUGUUGUGGUUAAUAACCGCAGCAAUUGACGUUACCCGCAGAAGAAGCACCGGCUAACUCCGUGCCAGCAGCCGCGGUAAUACGGAGGGUGCAAGCGUUAAUCGGAAUUACUGGGCGUAAAGCGCACGCAGGCGGUCUGUCAAGUCGGAUGUGAAAUCCCCGGGCUCAACCUGGGAACUGCAUUCGAAACUGGCAGGCUUGAGUCUUGUAGAGGGGGGUAGAAUUCCAGGUGUAGCGGUGAAAUGCGUAGAGAUCUGGAGGAAUACCGGUGGCGAAGGCGGCCCCCUGGACAAAGACUGACGCUCAGGUGCGAAAGCGUGGGGAGCAAACAGGAUUAGAUACCCUGGUAGUCCACGCCGUAAACGAUGUCUACUUGGAGGUUGUGCCCUUGAGGCGUGGCUUCCGGAGCUAACGCGUUAAGUAGACCGCCUGGGGAGUACGGCCGCAAGGUUAAAACUCAAAUGAAUUGACGGGGGCCCGCACAAGCGGUGGAGCAUGUGGUUUAAUUCGAUGCAACGCGAAGAACCUUACCUGGUCUUGACAUCCACAGAACUUUCCAGAGAUGGAUUGGUGCCUUCGGGAACUGUGAGACAGGUGCUGCAUGGCUGUCGUCAGCUCGUGUUGUGAAAUGUUGGGUUAAGUCCCGCAACGAGCGCAACCCUUAUCCUUUGUUGCCAGCGGUCAGGCCGGGAACUCAAAGGAGACUGCCAGUGAUAAACUGGAGGAAGGUGGGGAUGACGUCAAGUCAUCAUGGCCCUUACGACCAGGGCUACACACGUGCUACAAUGGCGCAUACAAAGAGAAGCGACCUCGCGAGAGCAAGCGGACCUCAUAAAGUGCGUCGUAGUCCGGAUUGGAGUCUGCAACUCGACUCCAUGAAGUCGGAAUCGCUAGUAAUCGUGGAUCAGAAUGCCACGGUGAAUACGUUCCCGGGCCUUGUACACACCGCCCGUCACACCAUGGGAGUGGGUUGCAAAAGAAGUAGGUAGCUUAACCUUCGGGAGGGCGCUUACCACUUUGUGAUUCAUGACUGGGGUGAAGUCGUAACAAGGUAACCGUAGGGGAACCUGCGGUUGGAUCACCUCCUUACCUGAAAGAA
RNAcentral lists this ribosomal RNA (1552 nucleotides) under Salmonella enterica. RNAcentral's name for it is "bacterial SSU rRNA". It matches the Rfam family "Bacterial small subunit ribosomal RNA". The record is from RNAcentral. Lineage: Bacteria; Pseudomonadati; Pseudomonadota; Gammaproteobacteria; Enterobacterales; Enterobacteriaceae.